RNAcentral lists this ribosomal RNA (403 nucleotides) under bacterium. RNAcentral describes it as "partial 16S ribosomal RNA". It matches the Rfam family "Bacterial small subunit ribosomal RNA", at positions 355 to 776 of the family's 1533-position model. The record is from RNAcentral.
UGGGGAAUAUUGCACAAUGGGGGAAACCCUGAUGCAGCGACGCCGCGUGAACGAAGAAGGUAUUCGUAUCGUAAAGUUCUGUCCUAUGGGAAGAUAAUGACAGUACCAUAGAAGAAAGCUCCGGCUAAAUACGUGCCAGCAGCCGCGGUAAUACGUAUGGAGCGAGCGUUGUCCGGAAUUAUUGGGCGUAAAGGGUACGCAGGCGGUUUAAUAAGUCGAAUGUUAAAGAUCGGGGCUCAACCCCGUAAAGCAUUGGAAACUGAUAAACUUGAGUAGUGGAGAGGAAAGUGGAAUUCCUAGUGUAGUGGUGGAAUACGUAGAUAUUAGGAGGAAUACCAGUAGCGAAGGCGACUUUCUGGACACAAACUGACGCUGAGGUACGAAAGCGUGGGGAGCAAACAGG